GGGUAUCAUGUGGCCACUCAUUGCUAAUAAAAAAGGUGAUUGGUAUGAUGCAAAACUUAAGCCAAGCAGCUUAGAGGGCCUUCAAGGUUACAAGGCAAGUCAUCCUUUACCACUCAAUUUUUACUAUGUUCCGUAUUUUGUAACAUUAACCUUUAGGUUAAUUAAACGCUAAUUGAUUAAACGUUAACCUUUGAUUUUUCUGUUCUAACUGGACAACAUAUGCUGAGCCCUAGGCAAAGAAGGCUGAAAAAGAUCGUUAAUGGUGGAUGGUGUGGGUGGAAGAAAGCUGUUGAUAGCAAGGGAAAGAAUUUCUUCUUGCAUGUUUUAUAAUCUCCUUCUACCACAGAGGCCUAACAUGGUUUGAUAGGAUCAUUUUCAUGGAGGGUAACAGUUCCUAGUUUGUACCAAUUUUCUUGCAAUGGAAUGGUAGUUUUUCAUGGUUGGAAUUUGAUAGUUCAGUUAAUUAGUUGACUUACUUUUGGGUUGGUGUUUGUAACUGGCUUUCUGCGAAUGAA
Molecule: non-coding RNA, 515 nt
Organism: Arachis ipaensis
Lineage: Eukaryota; Viridiplantae; Streptophyta; Magnoliopsida; Fabales; Fabaceae
Source: RefSeq, a predicted model, not a curated record